AUUGAACGCUGGCGGCAGGCCUAACACAUGCAAGUCGAGCGGAUGAAGGGAGCUUGCUCCUGGAUUCAGCGGCGGACGGGUGAGUAAUGCCUAGGAAUCUGCCUGGUAGUGGGGGAUAACGUCCGGAAACGGGCGCUAAUACCGCAUACGUCCUGAGGGAGAAAGUGGGGGAUCUUCGGACCUCACGCUAUCAGAUGAGCCUAGGUCGGAUUAGCUAGUUGGUGGGGUAAAGGCCUACCAAGGCGACGAUCCGUCACUGGUCUGAGAGGAUGAUCAGUCACACUGGAACUGAGACACGGUCCAGACUCCUACGGGAGGCAGCAGUGGGGAAUAUUGGACAAUGGGCGAAAGCCUGAUCCAGCCAUGCCGCGUGUGUGAAGAAGGUCUUCGGAUUGUAAAGCACUUUAAGUUGGGAGGAAGGGCAGUAAGUUAAUACCUUGCUGUUUUGACGUUACCAACAGAAUAAGCACCGGCUAACUUCGUG
This 484-nucleotide ribosomal RNA is filed under the name uncultured bacterium. RNAcentral's name for it is "partial 16S ribosomal RNA". It matches the Rfam family "Bacterial small subunit ribosomal RNA", at positions 30 to 507 of the family's 1533-position model. The record is from RNAcentral.